Molecule: ribosomal RNA, 254 nt
Filed under: uncultured bacterium
Lineage: Bacteria
Description: partial 16S ribosomal RNA
Rfam family: Bacterial small subunit ribosomal RNA
Source: RNAcentral
UACGUAGGGCGCAAGCGUUGUCCGGAAUUAUUGGGCGUAAAGAGCUCGUAGGCGGCUUGUCGCGUCUGUUGUGAAAGCCCGGGGCUUAACCCCGGGUCUGCAGUGGAUACGGGCAGGCUAGAGGCAGGUAGGGGAGAACGGGAAUUCCUGGUGUAGCGGUGAAAUGCGCAGAUAUCAGGAGGAACACCGAUUGCGAAGGCAGCUCGCUGGGACGUUACUGACGCUGAGACGCGAAAGCGUGGGGAGCAAACAGG